GAUGAACGCUGGCGGCGUGCCUAAUACAUGCAAGUCGAGCGAACGGACGAGAAGCUUGCUUCUCUGAUGUUAGCGGCGGACGGGUGAGUAACACGUGGAUAACCUACCUAUAAGACUGGGAUAACUUCGGGAAACCGUAGCUAAUACCGGAUAAUAUUUUGAACCGCAUGGUUCAAAAGUGAAAGACGGUCUUGCUGUCACUUAUAGAUGGAUCCGCGCUGCAUUAGCUAGUUGGUAAGGUAACGGCUUACCAAGGCAACGAUGCAUAGCCGACCUGAGAGGGUGAUCGGCCACCCGGGAACUGAGACACGGUCCAGACUCCUACGGGAGGCAGCAGUAGGGAAUCUUACGCAAUGGGCGAAAGCCUGACGGAGCAACGCCGCGUGAGUGAUGAAGGUCUUCGGAUCGUAAAACGCUGUUAUUAGGGAAGAACAUAUGUGUAAGUAACUGUGCACAUCUUGACGGUACCUAAUCAGAAAGCCACGGCUAACUACGUG
This 497-nucleotide ribosomal RNA is filed under the name uncultured bacterium. RNAcentral describes it as "partial 16S ribosomal RNA". It matches the Rfam family "Bacterial small subunit ribosomal RNA", at positions 28 to 507 of the family's 1533-position model. The record is from RNAcentral.